This 908-nucleotide ribosomal RNA is filed under the name uncultured Gemmatimonadota bacterium. RNAcentral describes it as "bacterial SSU rRNA". It matches the Rfam family "Bacterial small subunit ribosomal RNA", at positions 28 to 916 of the family's 1533-position model. The record is from RNAcentral. Lineage: Bacteria; Pseudomonadati; Gemmatimonadota.
GACGAACGCUGGCGGCGUGCUUAACACAUGCAAGUCGUACGAACCUUGGAGAGCUUGCUCUUCAAGGCUAGUGGCGGACGGGUGCGUAACACGUGAGCAACUUGUCCUACGGUGGGGGAUAGCCGGCCCAACGGCCGGGUAAUACCGCGUAUUGCAUCGGCACCGCAUGAUGCUGAUGUGAAAGCGGCCGCAAGGUCGCGCCGAAGGAGGGGCUCGCGGCGUAUCAGCUUGUUGGUGGGGUAACGGCCUACCAAGGCUACGACGCGUAGCUGGUCUGAGAGGAUGAUCAGCCACAUUGGGACUGAGAUACGGCCCAGACUCCUACGGGAGGCAGCAGUGGGGAAUAUUGCGCAAUGGCCGCAAGGCUGACGCAGCGACGCCGUGUGUGGGAUGAAGGCCCUCGGGUUGUAAACCACUGUCAGGAGGGACGAAUACUCGGCUUCAAAUAGUUGACCGAGGGUGACGGUACCUCCAGAGGAAGCACCGGCUAACUCCGUGCCAGCAGCCGCGGUAAUACGGAGGGUGCAAGCGUUGUCCGGAUUCACUGGGCGUAAAGCGCGCGUAGGCGGUUCUGUAAGUCAUCUGUGAAAUCCCGGGGCUCAACUCCGGGGCUGCAGGUGAUACUGCAGAGCUAGAGCUCGGUAGAGGCAAGUGGAAUUCCCGGUGUAGCGGUGGAAUGCGUAGAUAUCGGGAAGAACACCAGUGGCGAAGGCGGCUUGCUGGGCCGAUGCUGACGCUGAGGCGCGAAAGCGUGGGGAGCAAACAGGAUUAGAUACCCUGGUAGUCCACGCCGUAAACGAUGGGUACUAGGCGUCGGGGGGAGCGACCCCUUCGGUGCCGUCGCUAACGCACUAAGUACCCCGCCUGGGGAGUACGGCCGCAAGGCUGAAACUCAAAGGAAUUGACGG